AGACGAGGGGGCUAGCGUUGUUCGGAAUGACUGGGCGUAAAGGGCGCGUAGGCGGUUUUUUAAGUGAGGCGUGAAAGCCCUGGGCUUAACCCAGGAGGUGCGUUUCAUACUGGAAAGCUUGAGUACGAGAGAGGAAAGUGGAAUUCCUAGUGUAGAGGUGAAAUUCGUAGAUAUUAGGAAGAACACCAGUGGCGAAGGCGGCUUUCUGGCUCGUAACUGACGCUGAGGCGCGAAAGCGUGGGGAGC
This 246-nucleotide ribosomal RNA is filed under the name uncultured bacterium. RNAcentral describes it as "partial 16S ribosomal RNA". It matches the Rfam family "Bacterial small subunit ribosomal RNA", at positions 523 to 769 of the family's 1533-position model. The record is from RNAcentral.